Molecule: RNA transcript, 2221 nt
Organism: Vidua chalybeata
Lineage: Eukaryota; Metazoa; Chordata; Aves; Passeriformes; Viduidae
Gene name: pituitary tumor-transforming gene 1 protein-interacting protein-like
Exons: 8
Source: RefSeq, a predicted model, not a curated record
UCUGCGCGCGGCCGGGGCCCGGGCCGAGCGGGUGCUGUCCGGUGCCGUCCCGGCCAUGGAGGCGGCGCGGCGGUGGCCGCUGUGGUGGCCGCUGUGGCUGCAGGGCCUGGCGCUGCUGUGGGGCCGCGCCGUGGCGGGGCUGGAGCAGAUCCGCAGCACGGUUCCGCCGCCGCAGGCAUGUUCAGCAUUUUCCCAGAAGUCCUGUGAAGAAUGUCUAAUAAAUGUUUCGUGCCUUUGGUGUUACACCAACAACACAUGCAUUGAUUACCCUGUAAGAAGUAUUUUUCCACCAUCUUCAUUGUGUUCUCUCUCAAAUGCUCGAUGGGGAGUUUGCUGGAUAAACUUUGAGGCUUUAAUUAUUGCUAUGGCUGUGGUAGCUGGACUCAUUCUGGUGUCCCUAGCAGUCUGUUGCUGUUACUGCUGUUACUGCAGAAGGCGUUCCAGGAGCAGACUACAGGAAGAAGAGGAGCAACUAGCUAGGAAGAGAGAGGAACGAAGGCUACAGUCUCUUCAGAGGAAACAUGAAAGAAAACUGAAGCAUGAUGAAAUACGUAAGAAGUAUGGUAGUUAGUUGCAGUAACUGAUACAGUAAUCAGCUCUGAGCAAUUGUGCUGCUUGACUGGCAUCUUAAAUAACCUGGCAGUUCAAAUGAAGCUCACCAACUGCACAAGGUCUUCUCCAGGAUUCUGAUAAUCCCUACAGCAGAUUUGAGAAUGAAUAAAGAUGAGCACCUUCCACAAGAGCUGUAAUUCCAGAAUGCAGGAAGACAGUUUGUUUUCAUUAGCCCUUUCGCUCUUUCACUUCUGUUUUUUUCUCUCCAAAGUAUUUUUUCCUGGUUGUAAAACUAGAAGCAGCUAAAGACUUUCUGAAAUAACACGUUUCUAUCUCCUACGUGUAUGGAAAUAAUUUUCCAUAAAUGUUUUUUAUUGUUGAAAUGUUCGCUGAAGUUGGUUUAUGUUUCCUCUUCUUAAAAUCUAUAUUUCAUUACUUGACUUAGAUGGUUAAUAGUCACAAUAGCGUGAUUUUGAAUUCAGUCUUAACUGCUACUUAAAACAGUUGUUCUCAUGUUCCUAAAUAGACAGAUUUAUAUAUAUAUAACAAAAAGCAACAUGGAAGCACAGCUUCACAUAGCAGAAAUAGUUGAUGAAGAAUACAUCAUGCACACUCUUGUGGGUGGAGGUUUUUUUACCUGGAAAAGCAUCUUCCAAGAGUGUAAUGUGUAAGGGUUGACAGAGAGGAGCAUAUUGGUCUUUGAAUAAUUAAAUUCAGUUGUGGGAAUGUUAAUAUGUACUUUGAAUGCAGUUAGCAAAAUUGGAGGAAGGUUGAUCUUGAAACAAACAUAGUUAUGUGUUCCUAUAUUUAAGAAGCAUCAGUCUGUGUGAGCACUUUCUUCUCCAAACUUAAAGUAUGUUGCAAAAAAAAAAAAAAAAGUGUAAAGUUGCCCAGAUUCUGCAGUUUACCAGGGCUGACCCUGGCCAGCAGCUUAAGCACUGCCCAGCUGCUUCCUCCCUCCCUCGAGGGGAUGUGGGAGAGAAUGGGAACAGCAAAGGGUUGAGAUAAAGGUGCAGUAAGUGAAGGAAAGGGAGGGUAGAGGGAACAAAUUCUGCAAAGCAAUUGCCACCUCCCAGAAGCAGACCUUUGCCCAGCCUCCCUCCAGUUUUCUUGGUGAGCCUGGAAUAGGGUCAAUUUGGGUCAGUUUUGGCCAACUGUAUCCUCUCUCAGCUUCUUGCUCCCUCUGGCCUAGUUGCUGGAGCAAGCAGAGUGAGGGAAAAAUGAAACCUUGAUGCUGUGCAAGCAAUGCUCAGCAAAAGCCAAAGCACUGGUGUGUUACCAGCACUCUUUUUGCCACAAAUCCAAAGCAAAGCAGCACCAUAAGGGCUGCUAUGAAGAAAGUUACCUCAGUCCUUGCCAGAGCCAGUACAGUAAAAAGGCAGUAUUUUUUUUAACCUUUUAUUGUUCUUUUGAUAUUUCCAUAAUGUGAUUUAUUUCCUGUCUUACUUUUCAUAAAGGGUUUCCUUGAGCACUUUUAGUAGCUUACCAGUAUGAUGUGACAAGCAAAGAGCUCUUCUAUACCCCCAGUCUAAUUGUAUGGUCCCAUUUAUUCUGUACACUUUAAAUCACCUCCCUUGUUGUUUAUUAUCUGUUAAACAAAUGUACAGUAUUGAAGAUGUUUGUGUUAUUUUUGUCCAUGUUCCUAAAAUAAACUCUUUAACAUCUUGAA